Molecule: ribosomal RNA, 484 nt
Filed under: uncultured bacterium
Lineage: Bacteria
Description: partial 16S ribosomal RNA
Rfam family: Bacterial small subunit ribosomal RNA
Source: RNAcentral
AUUGAACGCUGGCGGCAGGCCUAACACAUGCAAGUCGAGCGGAUGAAGGGAGCUUGCUCCUGGAUUCAGCGGCGGACGGGUGAGUAAUGCCUAGGAAUCUGCCUGGUAGUGGGGGAUAACGUCCGGAAACGGGCGCUAAUACCGCAUACGUCCUGAGGGAGAAAGUGGGGGAUCUUCGGACCUCACGCUAUCAGAUGAGCCUAGGUCGGAUUAGCUAGUUGGUGGGGUAAAGGCCUACCAAGGCGACGAUCCGUAACUGGUCUGAGAGGAUGAUCAGUCACACUGGACCUGAGACGCGCUCCAGACUCCUACGGGAGGCGGCGGGGGGGAAUUGUGAACAAGGGGAAAAGGCCUAACCCACCCAUGCCGGGGGUGGAAAGAAGGUCUUGGGAUUGUAAAGCAUUUAAGGUUGGGAGGAAGGGAAUUAAUUUAAUACCUGUCUGUUUUGACGUUACCAAAAAAAAAGCACCCGGCUAACUUCGUG